This 1363-nucleotide long non-coding RNA is filed under the name Eucalyptus grandis. Its description in RNAcentral is "long non-coding RNA (EGRA_LNC007978)". The record is from RNAcentral. Lineage: Eukaryota; Viridiplantae; Streptophyta; Magnoliopsida; Myrtales; Myrtaceae.
AUCUUCAUCUUGGCAUGUGCUAUUUGUUGAAUUUGUACACUCGUUGCAUUGUGAGCUCGCUGAAUAUGUCUACUCUUACCAUACAUGGCUCAAGUUUACUGGAUUCAUUGUUGUUCUUGCUGAACAUGUUAUAUUUUUGGCUAUGAAUGUCCUGUAUAUUCAUAACAUUAUAUUCAUAACAUAUUGUCGCCAAGUUAUAAGUGUUGUUUGUGACUUGAAUUUGCUGGAUUCAUGUUCAUGUAUGAUGUCUAUGUCCAUUCGUUAUAAUAACGAUUUCUAUGCAUUAUCUUAGUCAUAUAAGAUGAGGCAAGGAAUCCAUGUUUCUUAGAUUAGGGUUAGAUUAGACUCUGUAGAUGGAGAGGGUGUAAAGAUGGUGGAGGUCGAUGUCCAUUCCGACUGUUGUCAUGUACUAUUUGUUUUCUCGACAUAUGUCUCGGGUUCCAUGCAUUGUAUAAAACUCGAUAAGUUGCGGUUUCCUUUUUUUCCCAAUUGUUUUCUCUUUCAUAUUUUUAGAAUUACAUGAUUAGGUUAAACUGCUUUUCUUGAUUGUUUACUUCAUGUCUUACAAUUUCAUUUUCAUUGUUUGUUUUCAUUUCAUUUCUUAGGAAUAGAAUAGAAUGAAAGUAAUCCACCAUGCAUGAUCAUUUAGUAUAGAAUUGACGAUCUUGAAAAUAUAAAAAGAAAUGCAUGGACAUGUUAAGAAAAACACAACAUACUAUUUAGGUACCGAAAGGGCGCUAAUAGCAAUAUUAGCAUAACCCAAGUCCCCGAAUCUAGAUAUCUGGUUACAUAGGAAUCAAUGGAACACUCCCGACCCUCGAUUGGGUUUCUAGCCGACCCCCUAAAUGAGGCUAGUGGCGACUCCUGUCUAUUUUUUAGGUUGUUAUAAACAACUAGAUUGCAUAUAUAAACCUGCUGUCACGCGGGGUACGAGCUUGGGAGAGCUCGCGAUCUUGUGAGGGAACUCUCGUGAUCAAGUACCCCUAAACCCGACCUUUUCCACCUUGGACAUUCGAGGGCGGCGAGAUUGGGUCGCGACACCAACUAAUGAAAAGUUUGGUUUCCAUGUGCACAUAUUGUUUUUUCAUCAACAUUCGUUGAUAGAACCAAACUGGUCGGUUUUCAAGGUCGCCAGUUCCGGGGCCAAGGUGUCUGAGCUCCCAAUUCCAAGUUUAAAAUCAGGCUUAGCUCAAGAUUCUAGCCAUUGAAACGACCAACCUGGUAGUGCACGCCCCCAGCCCAAACUUCUUCCUAUCUUUCCAAGAAACGGGUGAAUGUUCCCUCAUUUCUAUUUAGUGUGAACUAGGACCCUAUUUAGUUCAAAGAUUGUCCUCAUGCAAAUUUUGAUAUGACUUCAACAUAG